GGGGGCGUAGCUCAGAUGGUAGAGCGCUCGCUUAGCAUGCGAGAGGUACCGAUCGAUACCCGGCGCCUCCA
RNAcentral lists this transfer RNA (71 nucleotides) under Caerostris extrusa. RNAcentral describes it as "tRNA-Ala". It matches the Rfam family "tRNA". Rfam says of the family: Transfer RNA (tRNA) molecules are approximately 80 nucleotides in length. Their secondary structure includes four short double-helical elements and three loops (D, anti-codon, and T loops). Lineage: Eukaryota; Metazoa; Arthropoda; Arachnida; Araneae; Araneidae. The record is from RNAcentral.